This is an RNA transcript of Solanum dulcamara, 2701 nucleotides long. RefSeq lists it as uncharacterized. The record is from RefSeq and is a predicted model, not a curated record. NCBI's taxonomy places the organism in Eukaryota, Viridiplantae, Streptophyta, Magnoliopsida, Solanales, Solanaceae. The transcript has 6 exons.
GGAUAGUAUUUUUGUGUCUCGUCUCUUUCCUUCUGUACUCCUGAACUAGUACUGGUGUGUACCUGUCUUUCUUCAUCAUCAUCUUUGUUCCCCUGAAAUCUCUCUCCUCCAUUUUCGCCUUUCGCAGGCGCCAUCAGUUCCCUCACCGACACAGGCUUUUAGAUCUGUUGCGUAAAACCGGAAAAAAAAUGAACAGAUGCGCUUAUCAGCAAACGGCCUUGAUGGGUUUUGUUGGAGUUGAAGAAAUUAGACGGGGAGAUAUCUCUGUCUCUGAUGGUCUUGUUUUCCCCAUACCUCGCCGGAAUGGGCUUUUCAACGAACCCAUCAGACCUUCUCGAUUCCUCCAAAUCAAUAAUCAGCAAACGGAGGGUUACGAUUUGAAAGCCGGAACUGAACUUCUGGAUAUCAUCCUCGCCAAGGGGAGCUAUGAUAUGGAGACAACCAAUUUUGAGAUGGCUUCAUCUCCACCAUUCGUUUUUGGGUCUCCGCCCACCAGGGCUUCGAAUCCCCUGAUUCAGGAUGCCCAAUUUGGCAAUGACAAUUUUGUUCCUAUACUAGCAAUUCCAGAAGGAGCACCUUCACCACCAUCCUCCUUUACUUCCACUUGUGCUCGUAAUAAUGGAGGCGGCUGCGUUCCAGUGAAGUUUGGGAUCAAGCCAGCUGCUGUGAGGAUUGAAGGCUUCAACUGCUGCAGUAGCAUCUCUGCUGUAGCUUAGGAAGCGCGUGUAAUGAACCUUGCUUCUAUCCAGCUUUGUUUAUCAACGAUGUAGUUAGAGUAUUAUUUUUUUCGCAUAUCUUAAUGAAAGAAAAGGUGCGUUUUUGCAUUAUUAUUGGCAUUACUAUGUGCAUGUGAUUCUGCUCGAGGAUUUUAAACUUAUCCUAUAGCUAUCACUGACUUGAGCCGUGGAAUUCCUAGGUCAGUGAUCUUCUUUAUUUAGUUCAGAUAACGCAUGUUUGUAUAAAUUGAUGUUCUUUUAAAUACAAAGUCUGUCGUUUUGAGGAACGACUGUAAAGUUAGUUUCAGUUGAACCCAUUUUCAUACCAUAGGAAACAAGAUUAUGUAGUCUUGGCAUAGUAAAGAAAUGGACUUCAUAUUUUCAUUUUCAGCAGUUAUGUAAAUCACACCGGCUCUCUUUUGAUAAUAUAAAUCAAAAUGCAACACUUAAUACUUUUUGAUAAUUGAGUCCUCCAAAAAAAUAAAAAAUAGUCAGGUCCAUAGAGACCAAAGAGGAGGGCUUAACUGUAGAGACAGAAUUUCAAAUUGUUUCCAUUAUAAGUGCGAGUAUAACCAGAAACCCUUAUCAGUUUGUCGUUAUUCUUUCCCUGAUUGCAUCAUUAGAUAAGUUAGUUAAUAGUUGUAGUAUAACCAGAAACGUUUAUCAGUUUGUCGUUAUACUUUCCCUGAUUGCAUCAUUAGAUAAGUUAGUUAAUAUUUGUAGUAUAACCAGAAACCUUUAUCAGUUUGUCAUCAUUCUCUCCCAGAUUGCAUCAGUAGAUAAGUUAGUUAAUAGUUGUGGAGGAGAGAUACCCUUUUUAAUUAGAUGCAGAACAUGUUUAAACAACUAAAACUUCUGAAUAGGCAACCCUUUAAAUUAUGUAACUUUGCACGUUCCUAAGGACUGUUACAAUAUAUGCCUAUCAAUCAAUGGGAUGCAAUAAAUGUAAAAGAUUUUAUGUCCCGCAACUUAAAACUUCUAAAGGAUUUUAUAUUUCAUUUGCCCCCUCUAGUGUCCUCUUUCCCCUCUUUUGAGUUUGUUUAUCGAAAUAUUGUUUUGCUAGAUUAGUUAUUGAGGAAUUAAGUGAAUUGAGCUUUGUACUUGGUGUUUUCUGUCACAUUUUACAUUCAUACAGCUUAAAGACUGGUCACUCAGAUUUUCCAAGAUAAUGCAUCAUGCCAAUUUGACCUAAUGUCUUGGAUCUAUUGGAGGCAGUGUAUGGUCCUUGGAGUUGCUAAGCCGUCUAUUGUGGAUCCAGCUGUAUCAAAGAUGCCGUGGGUGCUGAAAUUGUGCAGUCACAUUGUUGGCACUUUUAUGUGCCUCCUAUUGAUAAAGUGCAGACUUUCAGGUCCAAAGUUUAUAAAGCUGAAUCAUUGAACAUGGGAUGCUGGGGCAUUAUUUACAUAUGAUAAGAUGAACUUCUACAAUCUGGAGUUGAACAAUACUAAUGUAAGCUGAAUCAUUGAACAUGGGAUGCUGGGGCAUUAUUUACAUAUGAUAAGAUGAACUUCUACAAUCUGGAGUUGAACAAUACUAAUGUGGUUGAUCACUCAACAUAGUACUUACUUCAUCGAGAAGAAUGAUAUGGUUUUUCGUACCAGAUGACUAAGGAAAAUCGCUCCAAGCAAAGUGUUGUUUUAUAAUCCAGAAACACCCGAGGAGUAGUUACUCGGUUGAUGAUGGACCCUCUUCUACCUUCUUCACUUAAACACCAAGCUUUUGUCUGUGGCAGGAUUCGAACUGCUCCAACCAAAAGCAUUUCAAGUUUGUAUGCUGUUUCGAGCACUACCAUAUAUAGGCUAUCAUUGCUGUUUGGCUUUUGUUUGUGCUGUUAACUACUAUAAAUACAUCGUUUACCUUACACUUGGCUUACAUCGUGUAAUUGCUUUAUAAUUGUAAUGAUUUGGUAGCUGGAAUCUCUACUUGAAAUUCAACAUGCUUUGGUUUAAAUCCAAAACUUAGAAAUCAAAGUUAACUUUAUCCUA